UACAGAGGUCCCAAGCGUUGUUCGGAUUCACUGGGCGUAAAGGGUGCGUAGGCGGUCGGGUAAGUCUGACGUGAAAUCUUCAAGCUUAACUUGGAAACUGCGUCGGAUACUAUUCGGCUGGAGGAAUGGAGGGGAGACUGGAAUACUUGGUGUAGCAGUGAAAUGCGUAGAUAUUCGGAAGAACACCAGUGGCGAAGGCGACUUACUGGACGACUGUUGACGCUGAGGUGCGAAAGCGUGGGGAGCAAACAGG
Molecule: ribosomal RNA, 253 nt
Filed under: uncultured bacterium
Lineage: Bacteria
Description: partial 16S ribosomal RNA
Rfam family: Bacterial small subunit ribosomal RNA
Source: RNAcentral